RNAcentral lists this long non-coding RNA (2049 nucleotides) under Nicotiana tabacum (common tobacco). Its description in RNAcentral is "long non-coding RNA (NTAB_LNC016519)". Lineage: Eukaryota; Viridiplantae; Streptophyta; Magnoliopsida; Solanales; Solanaceae. The record is from RNAcentral.
CUGGCUAUACCAUGAAAGGUAAUAUUAAUGUGGACACGCCCUUUGGAGCAAUGAAGUUACCAAUUAGCAAGGAAGGGGGUACAACACGUCUCAAGAAGAACAAAGAAGAUGGGGGAGACGAUGAUGAGGAUGAGGUAUGUUAGCUGUUCCUUCUUCAAAAAAUUUCAGUGUUGGUCAUCCGUUGCACUUGUUUGAACCGUUUCUCUAUGCCAGCCUAAGCAUUCUGAGGUUUCGCUCUCGUUUCGCUUUCGUUUCACACUCUGUAUCGUAAGAUAUAUAUAUGUUAUUGACGCUGACCAUGCAGCGUUUAAAGGAACACGAAAAGACAAAUGUCUAUGUCUCUACUCGUGAAGUAGGCGGGAACUAAAAACUUAAUUAUUUUAAGGGACACUGCAAGAUCAUAGAUGAUUGAUCUUUGGUAUCUGGUAAUGUUGAACGCUAAGUUGCUCGGACACGGGUGCGGAUGUCCAAAACGGGUGCGGAUAUAGAGGUCGGAUCCUUCGAGACGUAAAUUCUAAGAUUCGGGGACAUGGAUCCUAGUACGGAUAGUGGUGCGGGGAUCCGGCUAAAAAAAAUUUCAAAAAAUAAAAAUAUCUCUAGAUUAUGAGCAUGGAGGAUGGUAACUAAAUUAUUAUAAGCAUGGUUCGUUCAACCUAAGUUGCUCCGACAUGGCAGUUUUGGUGUCGCACCCGUGUCGACACGACACUAGUAUGGGUGUGGAUAUGGGAUCCGUAUCGGAUUUGGUCAAACAAUUUUGGGUACUUUGACCACGACAGACAGAAAAAUUCGAGACAAGAUACAAUUUGAUUCCGAAAUUAGAACCAAAACUAGGGUAAAUUUGAAGAAAAUAACAUACCUUAUCUAGGAAAUCAAUCCUUUACUUAUGUACAACUUGAGAAUUAAAAAAAAUUCACACUUUUACAAGUUAUAUAUAAGUUCUCCACAAAUUUUUUCAUAAUUUAGAGAAGUAAGAGAAAAUAUAUCUUACUGUGAAUUCUGAGAACCACGCCUCUCAUAUGAUUAAGUUUGUUUAGUAUAAAGAGUAAUUUGUGCUAUGCAGCCAUUGAUUCAAUUCUUCAUAGAAAGAUCAUUGUCUACUCUGCAAAGUGAUAUAUCUCUCUGCGUAAACAUGUGUCUAUCUCGGUUAUCUCUUAUUUAAGCGAAGUUGCCACAAGUAGCAUUUUAUCGAUCUUGUUUAUAUUAUCACUGGAUCAAUUGUUUUAAUAUGGUUUUAAAUUUUAUGAGCUUUGAGCUUCAACGCUUUUCUGGUGUAAAGAUGUGUUAAAAAAUGACAUUUCUGGUUCAUCUGUGUUUGCUAAUUUUUGAUAAUUACGGUCCCUCAGUCUCCUAGUUCCUACUUGCGACGUUUUUACUUAUGAUGUUUUUUAUUUACUGAAUUUUGUUUUUGGAGCGACAGUAAAGUUGUCUCCGUGUGACCUUGAGUUCGAUCUGUGGAAGCAGCCACUAAUGCUUGCAUUAGGGUAGGCCUCACACCCCUUGGGGUGCGGCCAUUCCCCGGACCUUGCGUGUGCGGGAAGCUUUGUGUACCGGGCUGCCUUUUUUUUUUUUUGGUUUCCUCAAGUUGUGGCUGGGUGGGUGUCAUCUCCUGAUUCUAUUUCAGGUUCAACUGUUACGUCAUAUUAGUUUGUUUUCACCCCUUGGCUGUAACAAACAUGUAGCAGUGUUAACCCGUUGCCCUUCCAUUCACAGGAUUGAAGUUGAAGAUCACAUUUUGCAAAAGCCACACUUGUUUGCGGCUAGCUUUAUAGAGGAAAAGUCAUCUGCUGAUGGGAACUUUUAGACCCCAUAAUAAAUAUGAACUUUAGCUUGGAUGUGAAAUAUGUCUACUUUGUAGUGUAUUUUGGAAUUAUGUCUCUGAAUGUGUAACUCGUUGUGAUCGAUGCUGUGAUUAGGUACUAAAUGUUUUAUGAGUCGUUUGCUGUCAUUAUUGUGGUUGAUAUAAUAUGCCACUUGAUAUUUAGACAUCGCGAGUCACAACUAGCUAUUGACAUUCUAAUAUUGUUGUUAUUGUGGUUCAUCUUAUCGGGU